GGUGGCAGUACCUCGUUGACUGGGAGGGCUACGGCCCGGAGGAACGGUCCUGGGUGCCCGGUUCUUUCAUUUUAGACCCUGGACUCAUCUCUGACUACCGUGCCUCACUUCCUUCUGGCUCUUUUGGGCCGCCAGGUGGCGGCCGUUGAGGGGGGGGUACUGUUGGGAAGCUGGAGUUUUGGUUUCUGUGGGGCUGCUUUUCUUGUCUCUAGUUAUCCACUAGAUGGAGCCAGGAAGCUGUGUUGUCCAGAGGGCGGUCUCAGGUGUUCAGCCAUCACACCUGCAGCCUAUCUGUCAUCAGCCAGUGUUUAAGAGAAGCCUGUCACCAGUCCUUCGAUGCCUGAGUGUUGCCGUUCAUGGUUCUCAGCGGCUGUUACCUUUGUGCCUUAUGAGUUUUAUCGUUUCACCUCCAAGAUUCUUCAUAAAGAAACCCCUGGUUCAUAAAUCCCUACGACUGGUUCUUCUGGCUGAUCAAGUCUGUGCUACAACCUGUCCGCCCUCCAAUGAAGUGCAACUAACAAACCCUCAUCGCCGCCCAUUCUCUCUGGAUCUCCUGGCUUCAGUUCCAACCCCACCUGGACCCGGCACUCACCCUAGAAACCAAGUUCCAGCACCAGCAGAAUACCUCCCCCUGGUGGAUCAGUUCCAUUUCACUAAAUCCAGAUCUCCAGCUGUCCCAUACCCCGGGCAAAGAAGAUACAUUCAAACUCUUUUUACAAUAAACUUUAUUUAACUGACA
Long non-coding RNA from Xiphophorus maculatus (southern platyfish), 739 nucleotides. RefSeq lists it as uncharacterized. Lineage: Eukaryota; Metazoa; Chordata; Actinopteri; Cyprinodontiformes; Poeciliidae. The record is from RefSeq and is a predicted model, not a curated record. The transcript is spliced from 3 exons.